UACAUUUGCAGCAUAUUCGGUUUCUUAUUCUUUUUUUAUCAUCAGAAUAUAGAAUUAAAAGGGAAUUUGGUGUAAAUCCAAAACUGUUCCCGCAACUGUAAAACUCAAGCAAUAUUUUAUUAGUAAAAACCACUGUAGUUAUAACUAUGGGAAGGUAAAUAAAAUAGAGUUAAGUCAGGAGACCUGCCGUUUUAAACAUUAAUUUA
This 206-nucleotide non-coding RNA is filed under the name Tenacibaculum dicentrarchi. Lineage: Bacteria; Pseudomonadati; Bacteroidota; Flavobacteriia; Flavobacteriales; Flavobacteriaceae. The record is from RNAcentral.